The sequence is a transfer RNA, 87 nucleotides long. It matches the Rfam family "tRNA". From Rfam's summary of the family: Transfer RNA (tRNA) molecules are approximately 80 nucleotides in length. Their secondary structure includes four short double-helical elements and three loops (D, anti-codon, and T loops).
UGCAGUCGUGGCGGAAUUGGCAUACGCGCUAGACUAAGGAUCUAGUGGUCAUUGCGACCGUACGGGUUCAAGUCCCGUCGACUGCAG